This 73-nucleotide transfer RNA is filed under the name Deinococcus sp. QL22. RNAcentral's name for it is "tRNA-Cys". It matches the Rfam family "tRNA". Rfam says of the family: Transfer RNA (tRNA) molecules are approximately 80 nucleotides in length. The record is from RNAcentral. Lineage: Bacteria; Thermotogati; Deinococcota; Deinococci; Deinococcales; Deinococcaceae.
GGCGACAUAGGGAAGUGGAUCAACCCAGACCUCUGCAACAGGUCAUCCGGCAGUUCGAAUCUGCCUGUCGCCU